Molecule: ribosomal RNA, 476 nt
Filed under: uncultured Methanosaeta sp.
Lineage: Archaea; Methanobacteriati; Methanobacteriota; Methanomicrobia; Methanotrichales; Methanotrichaceae
Description: bacterial SSU rRNA
Rfam family: Archaeal small subunit ribosomal RNA
Source: RNAcentral
UGAAUUGACGGGGAGCACCACAACGGGUGGAGCUUGCGGUUUAAUUGGAUUCAACGCCGGAAAUCUUACCGGGACCGACAGCAAUAUGAAGGCCAGGCUGAAGACUUUGCCGGAUUAGCUGAGAGGUGGUGCAUGGCCGUCGUCAGUUCGUACUGUGAAGCAUCCUGUUAAGUCAGGCAACGAGCGAGACCCACGCCCACAGUUGCCAGCGUACUCUCUGGAGUGACGGGUACACUGUGGGACCGCCGCUGCUAAAGCGGAGGAAGGAAUGGGCAACGGUAGGUCAGUAUGCCCCGAAUAUCCCGGGCUACACGCGAGCUACAAUGGUUGGUACAAUGGGUAUCUACCCCGAAAGGGGACGGGAAUCUCCUAAAACCAAUCUUAGUUCGGAUUGAGGGCUGCAACUCGCCCUCAUGAAGCUGGAAUCCGUAGUAAUCGCGUUUCAACAGAACGCGGUGAAUACGUCCCUGCUCCUU